RNAcentral lists this ribosomal RNA (745 nucleotides) under uncultured bacterium. RNAcentral describes it as "bacterial SSU rRNA". It matches the Rfam family "Bacterial small subunit ribosomal RNA", at positions 747 to 1504 of the family's 1533-position model. The record is from RNAcentral.
UCAUGCACGAAAGCGUGGGGAUCAAACAGGAUUAGAUACCCUGGUAGUCCACGCUGUAAACGAUGAUCACUCGUUGUUGGCGAUAUACUGUCAGCGACUGAGGGAAACCAUUAAGUGAUCCACCUGGGGAGUACGGCGGCAACGUUGAAACUCAAAGGAAUUGACGGGGGUCCGCACAAGCGGAGGAGCAUGUGGUUUAAUUCGAUGAUACGCGAAGAACCUUACCUGGGCUUAAAUGUAGGACGACGUAUGCCGAAAGGCGUAUUUCCUUCGGGACGUCUUACAAGGUGCUGCAUGGUUGUCGUCAGCUCGUGCCGUGAGGUGUCGGGUUAAGUCCCAUAACGAGCGCAACCCUUAUCAUUAGUUGCCAUCAGGUAAUGCUGGGAACUCUAAUGAAACUGCCUACGCAAGUAGUGAGGAAGGUGGGGAUGACGUCAAAUCAGCACGGCCCUUAUGUCCAGGGCGACACACGUGCUACAAUGGCCAGUACAGAGGGUUGCUACCUGGUGACAGGAUGCUAAUCUCGAAAGCUGGUCUCAGUUCGGAUUGAAGUCUGCAACUCGACUUCAUGAAGUUGGAUUCGCUAGUAAUCGCGCAUCAGCCAUGGCGCGGUGAAUACGUUCCCGGGCCUUGUACACACCGCCCGUCAAGCCAUGGGAGUUGGGGGUACCUAAAGUCCGUAACCGCAAGGGGCGGCCUAGGGUAAAACCAAUGACUGGGGCUAAGUCGUAACAAGGUAGCCGUA